UACGUAGGGGGCAAGCGUUGUCCGGAGUUACUGGGCGUAAAGCGCACGCAGGCGGUCUUUUUAAGUUUUGGGAGUGAACAGUUGGUGGCUUUAACUGCCAAAGUGCUUCGAAAAACUGAAAGACUUGAGGGCUUCAGAGGGACAACGGAAUUCCGGGUGGAGUGGUGAAAUGCGUAGAGAUCGGAGGAACACCAAAGGCGAAGGCAGUGCCUGGGGAGUACCUGACGCCUCAGGUGCGAAAGCCAGGGGAGGCGAACGGGG
This 261-nucleotide ribosomal RNA is filed under the name uncultured bacterium. RNAcentral's name for it is "partial 16S ribosomal RNA". It matches the Rfam family "Bacterial small subunit ribosomal RNA", at positions 524 to 777 of the family's 1533-position model. The record is from RNAcentral.